Molecule: ribosomal RNA, 401 nt
Filed under: uncultured bacterium
Lineage: Bacteria
Description: bacterial SSU rRNA
Rfam family: Bacterial small subunit ribosomal RNA
Source: RNAcentral
UCGGGAAUUUUGGGCAAUGGGCGAAAGCCUGACCCAGCAACGCCGCGUGAAGGAUGAAGUAUUUCGGUAUGUAAACUUCGAAAGAAUGGGAAGAAUAAAUGACGGUACCAUUUAUAAGCUCCGGCUAACUACGUGCCAGCAGCCGCGGUAAUACGUAGGGAGCAAGCGUUGUUCGGAAUUACUGGGCGUAAAGGGCGCGUAGGCGGCCAUCUAAGUCAGACGUGAAAUCCCCCGGCUUAACCUGGGAACUGCGUCUGAUACUGGACGGCUAGAGUAUGGGAGAGGGAUGUAGAAUUCCAGGUGUAGCGGUGAAAUGCGUAGAUAUCUGGAGGAAUACCGGUGGCGAAGGCGGCAUCCUGGACCAUUUACUGACGCUGAGGCGCGAAAGCUAGGGGAGCAAA